Molecule: long non-coding RNA, 614 nt
Organism: Pezoporus flaviventris
Lineage: Eukaryota; Metazoa; Chordata; Aves; Psittaciformes; Psittacidae
Exons: 3
Source: RefSeq, a predicted model, not a curated record
CUGUUAUAAAUUGCUGCCUUUUAGCUGAGAUUUGUAGCUCCCAGGGAAAGUAUGGUAAUUUCCAUGGAAUGUGUUGGUGUAAAUCUUUGCAGUGGUGUGCUUUAUCCUCAGGUUCCUCAGAGUGGGAUACUUUCUGAUAGGGGGGGCACAAAGUUGCACUGCUUUGAAUUUAAAUAGAAACUGUGUCUUAGUUGUUUGUUUUUUUUUUUAAUGAACCAAAAAGUUACAGGGAUUUUAUCAACAGAUAGGCUGUGAAGCAGAAAAGAGGACUUUUGACAAAGAGUGGCAUCUCUGGGGACAAGUCACUACCUCAGUGGUAGAAGGAUGCUUUUAUUCAGGGAAGGGCAUGUUGAUGACGAGACUUCCUCCAGAACCUCACCUGUUUUUUAGAGCUUCCAAUAGUUUGUGCUGAAACUGAAAGGCAGCUCCUGGCAAUUAUUUGAAAUUCUUGCUACUGUAUGAAAAAACUUCAGCAAAACUGAGGGCGUGGAGAACAGUUCAACAGCAGAUUGAAUACAGGGUAAAUGUAACUGUACGACUGUCAUCAGCAACCUAGGGCACUGAGUCCUGUACCAAGAAUUUUAAGCAGCAAUGGAAUAAACAAUAAAAUGUCC